Molecule: non-coding RNA, 45 nt
Organism: Schistosoma rodhaini
Lineage: Eukaryota; Metazoa; Platyhelminthes; Trematoda; Strigeidida; Schistosomatidae
Source: Rfam
AUCCAGAUGGCGAGUUCCAAACUGAACGAAACGCGCGUCUUUGAU